GGACGCACAUGGGGACAUCACUGUUUCGCCGUGCCCUUAAUUGCACAGAUCUCCUGCUCGAGGUUCUGACUAAUGGAACUUCCCAGAAAUGGUCCUCGGUGAACAGCCAGCAGUCUGAAGCACAGAAUAAAUGCAGCCAUCGGAGUGGAAUAUUUGAAAGACCAAAGCUUAUGUGGAUUCUUCCUCAUGGGGUGACAGAAAUGGGCUCCCAUCAGGUUCAGAAGCACGCACAAUAAACCCAACGAGAGUGACAACCCGUGUUUAAUAAACUGAUCAAAUGGGG
RNAcentral lists this long non-coding RNA (283 nucleotides) under Rattus norvegicus (Norway rat). RNAcentral describes it as "long non-coding RNA NONRATT032273". Lineage: Eukaryota; Metazoa; Chordata; Mammalia; Rodentia; Muridae. The record is from RNAcentral.